AGAGCUAUGGUAUUUUGGUUUCCCUCCGCAUUUUUUUCACGAUUUUGUUUCACCCUAACCAAAACCCUUUGCUCUCACGUUCUGCGUUAUCUUCCGCCCUCCUCGUCGCUGAUCUUUAAUCUCUUCAUCAUCGUUGCUUGAAGCAGGCGAAUUGGAGAUUAAUGUUUCUGGAUUGGCGAUUGGGACUCUAAAUUGGCGAUACAGAAAAAUUGGCAAAUUUCGUUUCUGAAUUAGCGAGAAGAAUAAGAGCUAAGUUAGGGUUCUAGUAGGCAAGUAGGGUAAUUGGGGAAUUGGAGAUUGAUGCUUCUAAAUUGGCGAUUGGGACUCUGAGUUGGAUAUGCAGAUAAAUUAUCAAAUUGAGUUUCUGAAUUAGCGAGAAGAACAAGGAUGGUGCAUAUAUUCAAGAAUUACAAGCUACUUAAAAUGUGUGAAGAUUCGUAGGGUUUUUGGCACAUGAAUAUGAUAUAUGUUUUGAAAAAUAAAGUUAUCGGACAGUGAUCGCAGGAUUUUUUUUUUAUUUUAAUGGAUUUAGUUUUAGAACCUAUAUUUUUUUUACUAUUCAAACAAUUGUAACAGAUAUUAUGCUUAUGAAAUUAAGCUAUUUGAAAUGUAUACAUUUUUUGAACUUA
Spinacia oleracea (spinach) is the source of this 629-nucleotide long non-coding RNA. RefSeq lists it as uncharacterized. Lineage: Eukaryota; Viridiplantae; Streptophyta; Magnoliopsida; Caryophyllales; Amaranthaceae. The record is from RefSeq and is a predicted model, not a curated record. The transcript is spliced from 3 exons.